UAUGUGUUAAACAUUGUGUCCCA
RNAcentral lists this non-coding RNA (23 nucleotides) under Arabidopsis thaliana (thale cress). Lineage: Eukaryota; Viridiplantae; Streptophyta; Magnoliopsida; Brassicales; Brassicaceae. The record is from RNAcentral.